RNAcentral lists this ribosomal RNA (524 nucleotides) under uncultured Acidobacteriota bacterium. RNAcentral's name for it is "bacterial SSU rRNA". It matches the Rfam family "Bacterial small subunit ribosomal RNA", at positions 380 to 896 of the family's 1533-position model. Lineage: Bacteria; Pseudomonadati; Acidobacteriota. The record is from RNAcentral.
GACCUGACGACGCAACGCCGCGUGGAGGAUGAAGGUCUUCGGAUUGUAAACUCCUGUUGCCCGGGACGAAUGGCUCCAACCUAACACGUUGGAGUGUGACGGUACCGGGUGAGGAAGCCCCGGCUGACUCUGUGCCAGCAGCCGCGGUAAUACAGAGGGGGCAAGCGUUGUUCGGAAUUACUGGGCGUAAAGGGCGCGUAGGCGGCCUUCUAAGUCGAACGUGAAAUCCCCGGGCUCAACCCGGGGACUGCGUCCGAUACUGGAAGGCUUGAAUCCGGGAGAGGGAUGCGGAAUUCCAGGUGUAGCGGUGAAAUGCGUAGAUAUCUGGAGGAACACCGGUGGCGAAGGCGGCAUCCUGGACCGGUAUUGACGCUGAGGCGCGAAAGCCAGGGGAGCAAACGGGAUUAGAUACCCCGGUAGUCCUGGCCCUAAACGAUGAAUGCUUGGUGUGGCGGGUAUCGAUCCCUGCCGUGCCGAAGCUAACGCAUUAAGCAUUCCGCCUGGGGAGUACGGUCGCAAGGCUG